CAAUAGCGUAUAUUAAAGCUGUUGCGGUUAAAAAGCUCGUAGUUGGAUUUCUGUCAAGGACAACUGGUCCGCCCCUCGGGUGAGCACAUAGUUUGGUCUUGGCAUCUUGUUGGAAACUGUUGCUGCACUUGGUUGUGUGGCGCAGUGUCCAGCACUUUCACUUUGAGGAAAUUGGAGUGUUUCAAGCAGGCACAUGCCUUUGGACACAGUAGCAUGGAAUAAUUAGAUUGGGCUUUUGCUCCAACUUGUCGGUUUCUGGAGCUGAGGUGAGAAUUAAUGGGGAUUGUUGGGGGCAUCCGAAUUUAGCCGUCAGAGGUGAAAUUCUUGGAUCUGCUGAAGACGGACAACUGCGAAAGCGUCUGCCCAGGAUGUUUUCAUUGA
Molecule: ribosomal RNA, 381 nt
Filed under: uncultured eukaryote
Lineage: Eukaryota
Description: partial 18S ribosomal RNA
Rfam family: Eukaryotic small subunit ribosomal RNA
Source: RNAcentral